GACGAACGCUGGCGGCGUGCUUAACACAUGCAAGUCGAACGGAAAGGCCCUGCUUUUGUGGGGUUCUCGAGUGGCGAACGGGUGAGUAACACGUGAGUAACCUGCCCUUGACUUUGGGAUAACUUCAGGAAACUGGGGCUAAUACCGGAUAGGAGCUCCUGCUGCAUGGUGGGGGUUGGAAAGUUUCGGCGGUUGGGGAUGGACUCGCGGCUUAUCAGCUUGUUGGUGGGGUAGUGGCUUACCAAGGCUUUGACGGGUAGCCGGCCUGAGAGGGUGGACGGCGACAUGGGGACUGAGAGACGGACCAGAAUCCUACGGGAGGCAGCAGUGGGGAAUAUUGCACAAUGGGCGGAAGCCUGAUGCAGCAACGCCGCGUGCGGGAUGACGGCCUUCGGGUUGUAAACCGCUUUCGCCGGUGACGAAGCGUGAGUGACGGUAAUGGGUAAAGAAGCACCGGCUAACUACGUG
Molecule: ribosomal RNA, 468 nt
Filed under: uncultured bacterium
Lineage: Bacteria
Description: partial 16S ribosomal RNA
Rfam family: Bacterial small subunit ribosomal RNA
Source: RNAcentral